GACGAACGAUGGCGGCGUGCUUAACACAUGCAAGUCGAACGGAAAGGCCCUGCUUUUGUGGGGUGCUCGAGUGGCGAACGGGUGAGUAACACGUGAGUAACCUGCCCUUGACUUUGGGAUAACUUCAGGAAACUGGGGCUAAUACCGGAUAGGAGCUCCUGCUGCAUGGUGGGGGUUGGAAAGUUUCGGCGGUUGGGGAUGGACUCGCGGCUUAUCAGCUUGUUGGUGGGGUAGUGGCUUACCAAGGCUUUGACGGGUAGCCGGCCUGAGAGGGUGACCGGCCACAUUGGGACUGAGAUACGGCCCAGACUCCUACGGGAGGCAGCAGUGGGGAAUAUUGCACAAUGGGCGGAAGCCUGAUGCAGCAACGCCGCGUGCGGGAUGACGGCCUUCGGGUUGUAAACCGCUUUCGCCUGUGACGAAGCGUGAGCGACGGUAAUGGGUAAAGAAGCACCGGCUAACUACGUG
RNAcentral lists this ribosomal RNA (468 nucleotides) under uncultured bacterium. RNAcentral describes it as "partial 16S ribosomal RNA". It matches the Rfam family "Bacterial small subunit ribosomal RNA", at positions 28 to 507 of the family's 1533-position model. The record is from RNAcentral.